This is an RNA transcript of Quercus lobata, 3457 nucleotides long. It is a transcript of the gene named metal tolerance protein 10-like, with no coding region annotated. The transcript has 5 exons. The record is from RefSeq and is a predicted model, not a curated record. Lineage: Eukaryota; Viridiplantae; Streptophyta; Magnoliopsida; Fagales; Fagaceae.
CCAUGUGAGCCAAUUAAUUUAGAGUUAGCCUCCUAUAAACACGUAACUUUAAUUCUCAAUUAGUUAUUAAGUCAAUUAAUCAAAUUGUUGCGUGGUGCAUUUUUUUCUCUCUCAAUAAUUCUUUGUAGAUUGACUACCUCGAAUAUAUUCAAAUUCCAUGCAAUUUCCAUUCAUCCCCAUUAGGAACCACUAAUUUCCUAACAAGUGGUAUCAAAGCCAUCGAUCUUGAGAUGAUUGAAUCCGUUGCAUUGCAUCAAAGUUACACGGAGUUACCAAAAUCAAAGGUUGAGAUUUUUUUUAUGUGGCUUCUCAAGUCUAUGAUUUCUUUAUUCUUGAUAACACUCUAGUGCAUUUCAAGCCAUCCUUUUAUCAUAUGGAUGUAAAUCAUUUCAGGGGGUUGCAGAUCUCUUAUACUACCUUCGAUCAACAGAAUGGAACGACCAAAAAAGGAAGUGAAGUUAGAAAGCCGUAUGAUAGGUGGUAACUAUCUUGCUAAUUAUGAGUUGGGCGCUUUAACCACUCAGACAUGGAUGCUUAGCGGGAAUCCUCUUACAUGGUGAAUAACCAAAUUCCAAUUGAAAUGAAAUCCUUAGGAUAAAUCAAUGCAAUUUAGGAAUACUCAAUGAAAGGACAUCAAUUCAAAUCUUGGAUUUUUGAUUCCUCUUAUCACAUGGAGGGAAAGGUGUAGAAAUGGAUUCAAGAAGUGGAGGCAUUGGGAUUUUGCAUCAAUUGGAUGGAGUUUUAUGUAGCCUACAAGAUUGGUUUCAAACACCGAUCCUUAAUGCACCAAUGGAGAGGCUACCACUGAACAACCCACUGCUUGACUGGUCAUUGACGUUAGCCAAACUCAUGCUUCACUAAAUGGGGCUACUCAUGUAAAUAAGGAUGAAGACAUGGAACAAACAGACAUGCACGUUGGUGGCACACAAUUGACUGUUAGCGUGGUGGUCUAGGAUUUAUAUCAAGUAACUCCUGAUUGCUUCCUAGAGCUGUCUUGGGGUGUCCGAGUGCUGUUGGAGUAUGUAAGUUUCACAGAUUGUUAUUGCAGGAAGUUUGUAUACAUGUGCAGAUGUGUGCUUCACGGUUGAAGAUGCAAUCACCACUCAGCGAGCUAAGGACUUCUUAAUUGGUUGGUAUGUGGAUUCCUUGAUUUAUGGAGACUAUCCUGAUGUAAUAAAAUAAUCGUUGGCUCAAGAAUUCCAGUCUUCAACAAUCUUGAAUUAAAUCAGGUUAAGGGUUCAUUUGACUUCGUAGGAGCAUAUUACUACAGCUCAUUGUAUGCAAAGGAUGACUCCAGAAAACUAAACAAGGAAGGCAGAAGCUUAGAUGCAAAUAUGGCAAUUAAAUUUGAUUUCCAUUCAAAAUGAUACAUCUUUACUUGAUUAUCUAAUUAUGCAGUGGGCUUUGCAUGAAGCCAUGAACUGAUGGUUUAUUUCAAGCAAGUUUAUGGAAAUCCUCUUAUUCACAUUGAUUAGAAUGGACAGCGAACACGUUGCAAUUCGUCAUUGGAAGAUGAGCUAAGGGUUCAAGAUUAUGUUUGGUUCCAACUUAAGAAGAAGCAAUGUGUGAGUAGGAUGGUCAAGAUGUCAUUGGAAUAUUGGAAGAUGAGCUAAGGGUUCAAAAUGAUGUUUGGUGCCAACUUAAGAAGAAGCAAUGUGUGAAUACGAUGGUCAAGAUGUCCUUGGAAUAUUGGUUUAGUGGCCGGCCACCCCCUCAUGAAGAUGCCACUCAAUAACACCACUUUCUAAGAUGAGAUGAAGCAGUUGGCGAAGAGUGUGAGGAUGUCUAUCUAUGUAACAAACACAGCUAAUAUCGUUCUCUUUGCAGCAAAGGUUUUUGCUUCUAUUGAGAGCAAAUCAUUGGCGGUUAUUGCCUCAAUCUUGGCUCACUCUUUGAUCUCUUGUGGGGAUUUAUAUUGUGGUUUACAUCUCAUGCUAUGCAAAACCCAAACCAGCAUCGGUAUCCAAUUGGAAAGAAACGGAUGCAGCCAGUGGGAAUCAUUAUUUUUGGGUCUUUCGGAUUACAAGUACUGUUGCAGGCGGCUCAACAGUUCAUUACAAAGUCUGUGCCUGAAAAGGAUCCUCAGAAGGAGAAAUGGAUAAUUGGAAUAAUGACAUCUGUAACUUUGGUGAAGUUUAUGCUCGCGGUCUAUUGUCGAAGGUUUAAAGAUAAAUUUGUUAGAGCCUAUGCUGAACAUCAUUUUUCUGAUGUUAAAACCAAUUUUAUCAGUUUGGCAACAGUCGUCCUGGCCAGUCGAUACUAUUGGUGGAUUGAUCCUACUGGAGCUAUUAUAAUACUAUUAUAUACAAUGAAUACAUGGAAGAAGACGUUCUUUGAGAAUUUAUUUGCCCUAAUUGGAAGGACAGACCUGAAUUUUUGGAAAAGCUAACAUAUCUGAUAUGGAACCACCAUGAAGAUAUCAAGAAAAUUGACACAGUAAGAGCAUAGACAUUUGGUUCUGAUCAUUAUUUUGUGGAGGUUGACAUAGUUUUGCCACAAGACAUGGUUCUGAGCAAAACGCAUGACAUUGGUGAGACACUGCAAGAGAAGCUGGAGCAACUCCCUGAAGUUGCGAGAGCUUUUGUGCAUACAGAUUCCAAGUAUACUCACAGGCCUGAACACAAGACCAUGGUUUGAUGACAAAGAUGAUGAUGACAAUUGUAAUGAUCAGAGCUCAGCCUUGCUAGAGCACAAGGGCCUUCACAUGAGUUGCUGAUUUAAUUAAUAUGUGAUGCAAUAUUUUAUUGUAAUGACAAGUAUACAAUUUACCAUCUGAUGGCUUAACUCCACUAAUCAUGAAGUAUCUCUCUUAUUUAUUUAGUUGGCCUGAACACAAGACCACGGUUUUAUGAAGAUGACAAUUGUACUGAUCAGAGCUCAGCCUUCGACAAUGAUGAUGAUGACAAUUGUAAUGAUCGGAGCUCAGCCUUGCCAGAGCACAAGGGCCUUCAAAAUUCAAAUGGGUUGCUGAUGGCUUAACUCCACUAAUCAUGAACUAUCCCUCUUAUUUAUUUGCUAGGCCUGAACACAAGACCACAGUUUGAUGACGAUGACAAUUGUACUGAUCAGAGCUCAGCCUUCAACGAUGAUGAUGAUGGCAAUUGAAAUGUCAGAGCUCAGCCUUGCCAGAGCACAAGGGCCUUCAAAAUUCAAAUGGGUUGCUGAUUUAGUUAACAUGUGAUGCAAUAUUUUUGUGAUGACAAGUACAAAAUUUACCAUCUGAUGGCUUAACUCCACUAAUCAUGAAGUAUCCCUCUUAUUUAUUUAGUAGAUGGAGAUUCAUUAAACAGUUGAUUUUGUCCUUAAUAUGCAACCAUUUUGUAAUGACAAGUACAAAAUUUGUCAUUUAUUUUUCUUGUCAAUUUAAUUAUGAAAGUUAUGGAAGCAAUAACCUCUAGCUUUACUUGAGGCAUUUUCUUUACUAUGGUGUCACUACUGAUUCUCCACUUGUGGCUGC